ACAUUAUAAUUGAGGGCAUCCAGGUUAUCAAACUUGCAGCUAGGAAAGGUGAAAUUACCUUGCGGUCUACUUAGAACUGGUGAAUUAAGUUGGCUCGUAGCUAAGGGUUGUCCAACUUGUUCUAUCUUUAUACACGAAUAUGUAACUUUAACCCUGUUUGCCUGGUUAGGUUUAAGUAAUUGAUCGCAAAUAUUACGAGGCUGUUUGUUUGGCUAUGCUCAUAGACAUCAAACAGGAAUAGAACUGUUUGACAUCAGAGUACCGUUUUUUUCCACAGCAACGCACACCCGCCUUGACUACCGUGGAUAAAUAAACUAUAACGCAUUUAUGCGCACAAAAUUAACAUUUACUAUGUGAUCCACGCAAAGUCGCAAACAAUAACAUCACACAGGGUGGCGUCACCUCAGCAGAGAAAAGGGGCCUGCGGUAAGAUAAGAGAACAUUCAUACAACGACGAUGAAGUUAACAUGGACAGACAAUCACACUCAACCUGAGAUUGACGGCUAGAACAGAAAAAAAAACCAGAAGUACUGUAAGUGUCUUUGUACGGACCUUUUAUUGAUAACAUAUCGAUAUAACAUCACAUUUUCCUUAACUUGUAGAACACAGAGCACAUUGGAAGAACAGAGCAGCAGUUAACGGGAAGAGUCAAGAGAAAUAUAGAAGUUAUAAUGAUCUUGUCUUGUAAUCUUACAGGAUUAUUUCACAUAAUCUCGUCACGCACUGUGAGAUUAUUUACACAGCCCUCCCGUCCCCUUCAAAAACGAGAAAAAUCGACACAUAUCUCAAAAGGCUUAUAGCCUCAAAGAAAACAAUGAGCAAAAAAACAACAAA
Molecule: long non-coding RNA, 834 nt
Organism: Engraulis encrasicolus (European anchovy)
Lineage: Eukaryota; Metazoa; Chordata; Actinopteri; Clupeiformes; Engraulidae
Exons: 2
Source: RefSeq, a predicted model, not a curated record